GUCCGCGGCGGAGCUCGGGGCUGCGGUCGGCGGGAGCUCACCGGCCUCACGUGGGUCGGCCCCCGGGCUGCAGCUGGCCCCUUUAAAGCUGCAUCGCCCCGGUGGGCUGAGUGGAUACUGGGCCUCAGAGCAACAGGAAAACUCGAUACUGACAGAGAUUUGUACUUUCUGGACCAAACCCCAAUGAGCUGACCUUCUGCAUAUUGGUGAUACAGUUCACACAUGGAAAAAAAGAUGCAUGGAAAUUGAAUCAAUCAACGCUGCUGGAAUGAGGAAGGUUUUGCUGACUCCAAACUACAGACACUGACAAGAAACAGCAAUAGGAAAUCUGUUCCAGCCUUUCAUCUAACCAUGAAGCAACUGCAUUUAAGAAUAUUAUGAUAAGGUGAAAGCAAAAUAAGAGGCAUUGUAUAAAAUGUACAUAAAACAGAAAACCACAGAUACAAGGGAUAAAAAUAUGCAUAAUGUGACUGACGAUUUUUUUUAAGACUUCAUUUGGACAUAUCAUAUUGUUAGGGUAGCUUGAUUUUUCACAUUUCUUUGAUGGUUUUCCAGGCUAGCCACCAUUUUACAGCAUGUGAAGUUGUAUCAUAAUGCACCACCAUAAAUGCUGUUCCUUCCUGUGCAGUGAGACUGCAUUGCAGAAUGAAUGAGAACAGACCUUUUGUUUCUUUUCUUCC
RNAcentral lists this long non-coding RNA (680 nucleotides) under Strigops habroptila (Kakapo). RNAcentral's name for it is "lncRNA (ENSSHBG00005015060.1)". Lineage: Eukaryota; Metazoa; Chordata; Aves; Psittaciformes; Psittacidae. The record is from RNAcentral.